GUUCUUCACAGCAUCGGCUGCUCCUUGUGCCAUGUUCUUCACUUGUCCACCCGUCUACACUCCAAAAUCAUAAUUAAUGCA
Molecule: small RNA, 81 nt
Filed under: Arabidopsis thaliana (thale cress)
Lineage: Eukaryota; Viridiplantae; Streptophyta; Magnoliopsida; Brassicales; Brassicaceae
Description: ATSL053070
Source: RNAcentral